Molecule: ribosomal RNA, 402 nt
Filed under: uncultured bacterium
Lineage: Bacteria
Description: partial 16S ribosomal RNA
Rfam family: Bacterial small subunit ribosomal RNA
Source: RNAcentral
UGGGGAAUAUUGGACAAUGGGCGAAAGCCUGAUCCAGCCAUGCCGCAUGAGUGAAGAAGGCCUUUGGGUUGUAAAGCUCUUUUAGUGAGGAAGAUAAUGACGGUACUCACAGAAGAAGUCCUGGCUAACUCCGUGCCAGCAGCCGCGGUAAUACGGAGAGGGCUAGCGUUAUCCGGAAUUAUUGGGCGUAAAGGGCGCGUAGGCUGGUUAAUAAGUUAAAAGUGAAAUCCCGAGGCUUAACCUUGGAAUUGCUUUUAAAACUAUUAAUCUAGAGAUUGAAAGAGGAUAGAGGAAUUCCUGAUGUAGAGGUAAAAUUCGUAAAUAUUAGGAGGAACACCAGUGGCGAAGGCGUCUAUCUGGUUCAAAUCUGACGCUGAAGCGCGAAGGCGUGGGGAGCAAACA